RNAcentral lists this ribosomal RNA (3036 nucleotides) under Yersinia enterocolitica subsp. palearctica. RNAcentral's name for it is "bacterial LSU rRNA". It matches the Rfam family "Bacterial large subunit ribosomal RNA". The record is from RNAcentral. Lineage: Bacteria; Pseudomonadati; Pseudomonadota; Gammaproteobacteria; Enterobacterales; Yersiniaceae.
GGGUUGUGAGGUUAAGCGACUAAGCGUACACGGUGGAUGCCUAGGCAGUCAGAGGCGAUGAAGGGCGUGCUAAUCUGCGAAAAGCGUCGGUAAGGUGAUAUGAACCGUUAUAACCGACGAUACCCGAAUGGGGAAACCCAGUGCAAUUCGUUGCACUAUUGCAUGGUGAAUACAUAGCCAUGCAAGGCGAACCGGGGGAACUGAAACAUCUAAGUACCCCGAGGAAAAGAAAUCAACCGAGAUUCCCCCAGUAGCGGCGAGCGAACGGGGAGGAGCCCAGAACCUGAAUCAGCGUAUGUGUUAGUGGAAGCGUCUGGAAAGUCGCACGGUACAGGGUGAUAGUCCCGUACACAAAAAUGCAUAUGUUGUGAGUUCGAUGAGUAGGGCGGGACACGUGACAUCCUGUCUGAAUAUGGGGGGACCAUCCUCCAAGGCUAAAUACUCCUGACUGACCGAUAGUGAACCAGUACCGUGAGGGAAAGGCGAAAAGAACCCCGGCGAGGGGAGUGAAACAGAACCUGAAACCGUGUACGUACAAGCAGUGGGAGCACCUUCGUGGUGUGACUGCGUACCUUUUGUAUAAUGGGUCAGCGACUUAUAUUUUGUAGCAAGGUUAACCGAAUAGGGGAGCCGUAGGGAAACCGAGUCUUAACUGGGCGAAUAGUUGCAAGGUAUAGACCCGAAACCCGGUGAUCUAGCCAUGGGCAGGUUGAAGGUUGGGUAACACUAACUGGAGGACCGAACCGACUAAUGUUGAAAAAUUAGCGGAUGACUUGUGGCUGGGGGUGAAAGGCCAAUCAAACCGGGAGAUAGCUGGUUCUCCCCGAAAGCUAUUUAGGUAGCGCCUCGUGAACUCAUCUUCGGGGGUAGAGCACUGUUUCGGCUAGGGGGUCAUCCCGACUUACCAAACCGAUGCAAACUCCGAAUACCGAAGAAUGUUAUCACGGGAGACACACGGCGGGUGCUAACGUCCGUCGUGAAGAGGGAAACAACCCAGACCGCCAGCUAAGGUCCCAAAGUCAUGGUUAAGUGGGAAACGAUGUGGGAAGGCACAGACAGCCAGGAUGUUGGCUUAGAAGCAGCCAUCAUUUAAAGAAAGCGUAAUAGCUCACUGGUCGAGUCGGCCUGCGCGGAAGAUGUAACGGGGCUAAACCAUGCACCGAAGCUGCGGCAGCGAACGUAUCACUUAAAACGCUUAACGUGACGGCAAAGCCGGCAUGUUCAAGCCACACUAAACGUUGAGUUGGCCGAUGUGCUGACAAACGAACAGGCGUUUUAAGGAUACGUUCGUUGGGUAGGGGAGCGUUCUGUAAGCCGUUGAAGGUGGUCUGUGAGGGCUGCUGGAGGUAUCAGAAGUGCGAAUGCUGACAUAAGUAACGAUAAUGCGGGUGAAAAACCCGCACGCCGGAAGACCAAGGGUUCCUGUCCAACGUUAAUCGGGGCAGGGUGAGUCGACCCCUAAGGCGAGGCUGAAAAGCGUAGUCGAUGGGAAACAGGUUAAUAUUCCUGUACUUGGUGUUACUGCGAAGGGGGGACGGAGAAGGCUAGGCUAGCCGGGCGACGGUUGUCCCGGUUUAAGCAUGUAGGCGGAGUGACCAGGUAAAUCCGGUUGCUUAUCAACGCUGAGGUGUGAUGACGAUGCACUACGGUGCAGAAGUAGUUGAUGCCAUGCUUCCAGGAAAAGCCUCUAAGCAUCAGGUAACAUGAAAUCGUACCCCAAACCGACACAGGUGGUCAGGUAGAGAAUACUCAGGCGCUUGAGAGAACUCGGGUGAAGGAACUAGGCAAAAUGGUGCCGUAACUUCGGGAGAAGGCACGCUGGCAUUAGGUAAAGGGACUUGCUCCCGGCGCCGAAGCCAGUCGCAGAUACCAGCUGGCUGCAACUGUUUAAUAAAAACACAGCACUGUGCAAACACGAAAGUGGACGUAUACGGUGUGACGCCUGCCCGGUGCUGGAAGGUUAAUUGAUGGGGUCAGCCGCAAGGCGAAGCUCUUGAUCGAAGCCCCAGUAAACGGCGGCCGUAACUAUAACGGUCCUAAGGUAGCGAAAUUCCUUGUCGGGUAAGUUCCGACCUGCACGAAUGGCGUAAUGAUGGCCAGGCUGUCUCCACCCGAGACUCAGUGAAAUUGAACUCGCUGUGAAGAUGCAGUGUACCCGCGGCAAGACGGAAAGACCCCGUGAACCUUUACUAUAGCUUGACACUGAACAUUGAGCCUUGAUGUGUAGGAUAGGUGGGAGGCAUAGAAGUGUGGACGCCAGUCUGCAUGGAGCCAACCUUGAAAUACCACCCUUUAAUGUUUGAUGUUCUAACUCGGCCCCGUAAUCCGGGGUGAGGACAGUGUCUGGUGGGUAGUUUGACUGGGGCGGUCUCCUCCCAAAGAGUAACGGAGGAGCACGAAGGUUAGCUAAUCACGGUCGGACAUCGUGAGGUUAGUGCAAAGGCAUAAGCUAGCUUGACUGCGAGAGUGACGGCUCGAGCAGGUACGAAAGUAGGUCUUAGUGAUCCGGUGGUUCUGAAUGGAAGGGCCAUCGCUCAACGGAUAAAAGGUACUCCGGGGAUAACAGGCUGAUACCGCCCAAGAGUUCAUAUCGACGGCGGUGUUUGGCACCUCGAUGUCGGCUCAUCACAUCCUGGGGCUGAAGUAGGUCCCAAGGGUAUGGCUGUUCGCCAUUUAAAGUGGUACGCGAGCUGGGUUUAGAACGUCGUGAGACAGUUCGGUCCCUAUCUGCCGUGGGCGUUGGAAGAUUGAGAGGGGCUGCUCCUAGUACGAGAGGACCGGAGUGGACGAAUCACUGGUGUUCGGGUUGUCAUGCCAAUGGCAUUGCCCGGUAGCUAAAUUCGGAAGAGAUAACCGCUGAAAGCAUCUAAGCGGGAAACUUGCCUCGAGAUGAGUCUUCCCUGGGGCUUUAAGCCCCCUGAAGGAACGUUAAAGACGAUGACGUUGAUAGGCUGGGUGUGUAAGUGCAGCGAUGCAUUGAGCUAACCAGUACUAAUGAACCGUGAGGCUUAACCUUACAACACCAAAGGUGUUUUG